ACGUAGGGGGCGAGCGUUGUCCGGAUUUAUUGGGCGUAAAGAGCUCGUAGGCGGUUCGGUAAGUCGGGUGUGAAACCUCCAGGCUCAACCUGGAGACGCCACCUGAUACUGCUGUGACUAGAGUCCGGUAGGGGAGUGUGGAACUCCUGGUGUAGCGGUGAAAUGCGCAGAUAUCAGGAAGAACACCAGCGGCGAAGGCGGCACUCUGGGCCGGUACUGACGCUGAGGAGCGAAAGCGUGGGUAGCAAACAGG
RNAcentral lists this ribosomal RNA (253 nucleotides) under uncultured bacterium. RNAcentral's name for it is "partial 16S ribosomal RNA". It matches the Rfam family "Bacterial small subunit ribosomal RNA", at positions 525 to 776 of the family's 1533-position model. The record is from RNAcentral.